GAUGAACGCUGGCGGCGUGCCUAAUACAUGCAAGUCGAGCGAACAGAUGAGGAGCUUGCUCCUCUGACGUUAGCGGCGGACGGGUGAGUAACACGUGGAUAACCUACCUAUAAGACUGGGAUAACUUCGGGAAACCGGAGCUAAUACCGGAUAAUAUAUUGAACCGCAUGGUUCAAUAGUGAAAGACGGUUUUGCUGUCACUUAUAGAUGGAUCCGCGCCGCAUUAGCUAGUUGGUAAGGUAACGGCUUACCAAGGCAACGAUGCGUAGCCGACCUGAGUGGGGGAUCGGCCACACUGGAACUGAGACACGGUCCAGACUCCUACGGGAGGCAGCAGUAGGGAAUCUUCCGCAAUGGGCGAAAGCCUGACGGAGCAACGCCGCGUGAGUGAUGAAGGUCUUCGGAUCGUAAAACUCUGUUAUUAGGGAAGAACAAAUUUGUAAGUAACUAUGCACGUCUUGACGGUACCUAAUCAGAAAGCCACGGCUAACUACGUG
This 497-nucleotide ribosomal RNA is filed under the name uncultured bacterium. Its description in RNAcentral is "partial 16S ribosomal RNA". It matches the Rfam family "Bacterial small subunit ribosomal RNA", at positions 28 to 507 of the family's 1533-position model. The record is from RNAcentral.